RNAcentral lists this ribosomal RNA (292 nucleotides) under uncultured bacterium. RNAcentral describes it as "partial 16S ribosomal RNA". It matches the Rfam family "Bacterial small subunit ribosomal RNA", at positions 505 to 796 of the family's 1533-position model. The record is from RNAcentral.
GUGUCAGCAGCCGCGGUAAUACGGAGGGUGCAAGCGUUGUUCGGAAUCACUGGGCGUAAAGGGCGCGUAGGCGGUCCCAAAAGUCUGAUGUGAAAGCCCGGGGCUCAACCCCGGAAGUGCAUUGGAAACUGUGGGACUUGAGUUCGGGAGAGGAAGGCAGAAUUCCCGGUGUAGGGUUGAAAUCCGUAGAUAUCGGGAGGAAAACCGGUGGCGAAGGCGGCCUUCUGGAACGAAACUGACGCUGAGGCGCGAAAGCGUGGGGAGCAAACAGGAUUAGAUACCCCCGUAGUCC